GAUGAACGCUGGCGGCGUGCCUAAUACAUGCAAGUCGAGCGAACGGACGAGAAGCUUGCUUCUCUGAUGUUAGCGGCGGACGGGUGAGUAACACGUGGAUAACCUACCUAUAAGACUGGGAUAACUUCGGGAAACCGGAGCUAAUACCGGAUAAUAUUUUGAGCCGCAUGGUUCAAAAGUGAAAGACGGUCUUGCUGUCACUUAUAGAUGGAUCCGCGCUGCAUUAGCUAGUUGGUAAGGUAACGGCUUACCAAGGCAACGAUGCAUAGCCGACCUGAGAGGGUGAUCGGCCACACUGGAACUGAGACACGGUCCAGACUCCUACGGGAGGCAGCAGUAGGGAAUCUUCCGCAAUGGGCGAAAGCCUGACGGAGCAACGCCGCGUGAGUGAUGAAGGUCUUCGGAUCGUAAAACUCUGUUAUUAGGGAAGAACAUAUGUGUAAGUAACUGUGCACAUCUUGACGGUACCUAAUCAGAAAGCCACGGCUAACUACGUGCCAGCAGCCGCGGUAAUACGUAGGUGGCAAGCGUUAUCCGGAAUUAUUGGGCGUAAAGCGCGCGUAGGCGGUUUUUUAAGUCUGAUGUGAAAGCCCACGGCUCAACCGUGGAGGGUCAUUGGAAACUGGAAAACUUGAGUGCAGAAGAGGAAAGUGGAAUUCCAUGUGUAGCGGUGAAAUGCGCAGAGAUAUGGAGGAACACCAGUGGCGAAGGCGACUUUCUGGUCUGUAACUGACGCUGAUGUGCGAAAGCGUGGGGAUCAAACAGGAUUAGAUACCCUGGUAGUCCACGCCGUAAACGAUGAGUGCUAAGUGUUAGGGGGUUUCCGCCCCUUAGCGCUGCAGCUAACGCAUUAAGCACUCCGCCUGGGGAGUACGACCGCAAGGUUGAAACUCAAAGGAAUUGACGGGGACCCGCACAAGCGGUGGAGCAUGUGGUUUAAUUCGAAGCAACGCGAAGAACCUUACCAAAUCUUGACAUCCUUUGACAACUCUAGAGAUAGAGCCUUCCCCUUCGGGGGACAAAGUGACAGGUGGUGCAUGGUUGUCGUCAGCUCGUGUCGUGAGAUGUUGGGUUAAGUCCCGCAACGAGCGCAACCCUUAAGCUUAGUUGCCAUCAUUAAGUUGGGCACUCUAAGUUGACUGCCGGUGACAAACCGGAGGAAGGUGGGGAUGACGUCAAAUCAUCAUGCCCCUUAUGAUUUGGGCUACACACGUGCUACAAUGGACAAUACAAAGGGCAGCGAAACCGCGAGGUCAAGCAAAUCCCAUAAAGUUGUUCUCAGUUCGGAUUGUAGUCUGCAACUCGACUACAUGAAGCUGGAAUCGCUAGUAAUCGUAGAUCAGCAUGCUACGGUGAAUACGUUCCCGGGUCU
This 1372-nucleotide ribosomal RNA is filed under the name uncultured bacterium. Its description in RNAcentral is "bacterial SSU rRNA". It matches the Rfam family "Bacterial small subunit ribosomal RNA", at positions 28 to 1381 of the family's 1533-position model. The record is from RNAcentral.